GCUGAAAAAGAGAUAGGUUUACGAGGAAAAAUAUUGUUUGAAAAAUCGAAAAUUAAAAAAAAAAGUAUAGUAACACCAAUUAUUAUAGUUUUUGCAGAAACACAAAUGAGUUAUUGGUAAUUUAGGAUACAUAAUAGAAAUAAAUAUUUUAAAAAUAUUCUAAAUGUCAAAUCCAAGGUCGGCUAAUAAGAAUUUUGUGUCGCAAGAUUAGCUGUCUUCAAUAAUUGAAAAUAUGAUCUUAUUUUGUCUUUUUGUAAUAAUAGAUCGGCUUUAGGUGAUGGAUUGAUUGUAGGCGGUUAUUUGCUCGAGUGAUUUCAUAGAUCCGCUUUGGUGUGUGGUUAACCGUUUGGCUUGGGUUUUGGACGAGAUCUCGAUAGGUUAGAUCGAUGGAUGCUCUCCGAGGAAGGUUCUCAAGCGGGGAAGAUCGGCCGGUCUCGUUCUGGUGGCUUGCGGCGCCGGUUACGGUGGCAUGCUUGGAAAACUAGGGUUUCCAUAAGUUUGGGCCGCGUGGGGUUUAAAGUUUAGGCCGUUUUUUUUGUUUAUACUAGUUGGGCCGGAUGCGUGGGCUUUUAUUGUAAUGUUUCUUGGUUGGGCUUGUCCCUUAAUUUUAAUAAACUCAGUUGGGAAAAAAAAAAAAGAUCGGCUUUAGGUUACCUUUAAAACCUAUAUUGUGUGCAACACUCUCUCAUACACUCAUGUUUAGUGAAUUUCAAGUUAGACAUAAA
This 725-nucleotide long non-coding RNA is filed under the name Brassica rapa (field mustard). Its description in RNAcentral is "long non-coding RNA (BRAP_LNC003967)". Lineage: Eukaryota; Viridiplantae; Streptophyta; Magnoliopsida; Brassicales; Brassicaceae. The record is from RNAcentral.